RNAcentral lists this ribosomal RNA (671 nucleotides) under Macrolepiota aberdarense. Its description in RNAcentral is "eukaryotic LSU rRNA". It matches the Rfam family "Eukaryotic large subunit ribosomal RNA", at positions 38 to 688 of the family's 3401-position model. Lineage: Eukaryota; Fungi; Basidiomycota; Agaricomycetes; Agaricales; Agaricaceae. The record is from RNAcentral.
GCAUAUCAAUAAGCGGAGGAAAAGAAACUAACAAGGAUUCCCCUAGUAACUGCGAGUGAAGCGGGAAAAGCUCAAAUUUAAAAUCUGGCGGUCUCUGGCCGUCCGAGUUGUAAUCUAGAGAAGUGCUGCCCGCGCUGGACCGUGUACAAGUCUCCUGGAAUGGAGCGUCAUAGAGGGUGAGAAUCCCGUCUCUGACACGGACUACCAGGGCUUUGUGGUACGCUCUCAAAGAGUCGAGUUGUUUGGGAAUGCAGCUCAAAAUGGGUGGUAAAUUCCAUCUAAAGCUAAAUAUUGGCGAGAGACCGAUAGCGAACAAGUACCGUGAGGGAAAGAUGAAAAGAACUUUGGAAAGAGAGUUAAACAGUACGUGAAAUUGCUGAAAGGGAAACGCUUGAAGUCAGUCGCGUUGGCCGGGGAUCAGCCUCGCUUUUUUGCGUGGUGUACUUUCUGGUUGACGGGUCAGCAUCAAUUUUGACCGCUGGAAAAAGGCUUGGGGAAUGUGGCAGCUUCGGCUGUGUUAUAGCCCUUUGUCACAUACAGCGGUUGGGAUUGAGGAACUCAGCACGCCGCAAGGCCGGGUUUCGACCACGUUCGUGCUUAGGAUGCUGGCAUAAUGGCUUUAAGCGACCCGUCUGAAUGAAACACGGACCAAGGAGUCUAACAUGCCUGCG